UACGUAGGGUGCAAGCGUUAAUCGGAAUUACUGGGCGUAAAGCGUGCGCAGGCGGUUGUGCAAGACAGAUGUGAAAUCCCCGGGCUUAACCUGGGAACUGCAUUUGUGACUGCACGGCUAGAGUGUGUCAGAGGGGGGUAGAAUUCCACGUGUAGCAGUGAAAUGCGUAGAGAUGUGGAGGAACACCGAUGGCGAAGGCGGCCCCCUGGGCUGAGAUUGACGCUCAGGCACGAAAGCGUGGGGAGCAAACAGG
RNAcentral lists this ribosomal RNA (253 nucleotides) under uncultured bacterium. Its description in RNAcentral is "partial 16S ribosomal RNA". It matches the Rfam family "Bacterial small subunit ribosomal RNA", at positions 524 to 776 of the family's 1533-position model. The record is from RNAcentral.